This 774-nucleotide ribosomal RNA is filed under the name Candidatus Regiella insecticola. RNAcentral's name for it is "bacterial SSU rRNA". It matches the Rfam family "Bacterial small subunit ribosomal RNA", at positions 75 to 842 of the family's 1533-position model. Lineage: Bacteria; Pseudomonadati; Pseudomonadota; Gammaproteobacteria; Enterobacterales; Enterobacteriaceae. The record is from RNAcentral.
GUAGCUUGCUACUCUGCCGGCGAGCGGCGGACGGGUGAGUAAAGUCUGGGRAUCUGGCUUAUGGAGGGGGAUAACCAUUGGAAACGGUGGCUAAUACCGCAUGAUGUCGCAAGACCAAAGUGGGGGACCUUARGGCCUCACGCCAUGAGAUGAACCCAGAUGAGAUUAGCUAGUAGGUGCGGUAAUGGCGUACCUAGGCGACGAUCUCUAGCUGGUCUGAGAGGAUGACCAGCCACACUGGAACUGAGAGACGGUCCAGACUCCUACGGGAGGCAGCAGUGGGGAAUAUUGCACAAUGGGCGGAAGCCUGAUGCAGCCAUGCCGCGUGUGUGAAGAAGGCCUUAGGGUUGUAAAGCACUUUCAGCGGGGAGGAAGGCGGUAAGAGUAAUAUGCUUAUCRAUUGACGUUACCCGCAAAAGAAGCACCGGCUAACUCCGUGCCAGCAGCCGCGGUAAUACGGAGGGUGCGAGCGUUAAUCGGAAUAACUGGGCGUAAAGRGCAUGUAGGCGGUAAGUUAAGUCAGAUGUGAAAUCCCCGAGCUUAACUUGGGAACGGCAUUUGAGACUGGCUGGCUAGAGUUUUGUAGAGGGGGGUAGAAUUCCAGGUGUAGCGGUGAAAUGCGUAGAGAUCUGGAGGAAUACCGGUGGCGAAGGCGGCCCCCUGGACAAGGACUGACGCUGAGGUGCGAAAGCGUGGGUAGCAAACAGGAUUAGAUACCCUGGUAGUCCACGCUGUAAACGAUGUCGAUUUGGAGGUUGUGACCUAGUGUUAUGG